AGGAUGAACGCUGGCGGCGUGCCUAACACAUGCAAGUCGAACGGGUGUGGUAUCAGGGAAAAGGGGUUUACUUCUUUGACCAGAUAACACACUAGUGGCGGACGGGUGAGUAACGCGUGGAUAACCUGCCUUAUACAGGGGGAUAACAGGGAGAAAUUCUUGCUAAUACCCCAUAGGUAUGUCUGACGCAUGUUGGACAUAUUAAAGCUUUGGCGGUAUAAGAUGGGUCCGCGUCUGAUUAGCUAGUUGGUGGGGUAAAGGCCCACCAAGGCGACGAUCAGUAGCCGGCUUGAGAGAGUGGACGGCCACAUUGGGACUGAGACACGGCCCAAACUCCUACGGGAGGCAGCAGUGGGGAAUAUUGCACAAUGGGGGAAACCCUGAUGCAGCGACGCCGCGUGAAGGAAGAAGGUCUUCGGAUCGUAAACCUCUAUCAGCAGGGAAGAAGGAAGUGACAGUACCUGAGUAAGAAGCCCCGGCUAACUACGUG
This 490-nucleotide ribosomal RNA is filed under the name uncultured bacterium. Its description in RNAcentral is "bacterial SSU rRNA". It matches the Rfam family "Bacterial small subunit ribosomal RNA", at positions 26 to 507 of the family's 1533-position model. The record is from RNAcentral.